Pelodiscus sinensis (Chinese soft-shelled turtle) is the source of this 1675-nucleotide non-coding RNA. The record is from RefSeq and is a predicted model, not a curated record. Lineage: Eukaryota; Metazoa; Chordata; Testudines; Trionychidae.
CUGCCGCCCACCCCCCCCUGUGGCUCUCGCGAGAACGGGCGGCAGCGGGAGAGGCCGCGUCGUCGUCAGCCGAGGGUGUCGUGUCUCUGUCCCCGCCCGCAGCACCGCGCCCCUCGGGAAGCCGAACGGAGUCGCCACGUCGCUGUCCCGGAGAGAGCGCUCCGGCCCCGACCCCCUUUUCCCGUCAGCAUUGCCGGGGGGGGCUUAUCCUCCGCCCCCAGCGUACUGCUCCCGCCGCCCUGUGCACGCUCAGAAGGGGCAGGCCCAGGCCAGCUCCGCUUCCCGGCUCCCCGCCGAAGAAGGUAACGUGCUGGCGGGGAGGCUCAGCACCACCCCAGUGCUGCUGUCCCAACUGUCCAAAAGUCAUGAAUCAAGCGCAACGCGAUCAAUAGGCUCAGAAAUCCCGCCAUGAGAAAGAGAUUCCUGCUUUCUCGGCCGAGUCGUUCGGAAGAAGCCGCCCACCCCAGGGAGGGUGAUUAUUUCAGCUCUACCAUCCAGAUUCCUAAGCAGAGAGCCCAGAGGGUGGCAGUGUUCUCUGCAGGCAGUCUAACUUCAGUCCCUUGGGGUACUAGAGGAGAUAGCCCUGAUCCCAGGAAGACUCACUUCUUUCUGCAAGAACAAGACAGAACUCUGUAGCACUUCAAAGCUGCAUGGAGAGGGCUGCUGUUUUAACUGAUGUCAGACUUUCAUUUUGUACUGUUGUCCUAUUGAAAGGUAAUAGGGGAUGGUAGCCAUUGUAACUAAGGGCAAAAGUUCACAAGAUUUGUAACUUCUGGGGACUGAGAAGCUGUGAGUGAAGCAUAAAAUCAUGGUGCUCAGAAUAAUAUUGAGAGAGCUGGCUACUUUGACAUCUUUCCUAUUCCCAACAUCAUCACACCAUAGGAUUGCCACGUGUCCAGAUUUUAACCAAAAGUGCAGUAAAAAGGGGAACUCUAUGCUGUCCAGUCAGAAGUACUGAUGGCACCAAAGUUCACCUACCGGGGCACUGGAAGAGGGAUGUUGCUUCCUGUAAAUGCCAUCCCCAACCUGUCCCUAGUCAGUCUGGCCUAGGAUUUUGGAGGGAGGCAAAGUAGAUGGAGGUGGAGGGAUCAGCACUGGAUCAUAAAUCUGAGCCAAGGCCAUCUCUUACCCGCAUCUCAUGGUCAGGCAGGUAAGCAGGCUCUCAUUCAGCUGCAAGCCUGAUUAUCCAUGCCAAAGGUGAGUCCUGAGAGAUAGGGGAGACAGUAACCAGCAGAGGUGGGAGGGAUUGAGCAGUGGAGUGGAGGGUUGUAGUGUCCACUUUUAAGAAACUGGAAAGUUGACAAGCCUACUUGUGAGUCACAACCUCUGCAAUAGUCAGGACUGCUUUGACUUUGUUCUAAUUGAGCCAUGAUGUGCAGAGUGAUAGGUGGUAUCUAAGUAGUAUCAGAGUGUGGCAACCUCUGCAUCAGGAGUUAUGCCUAACUUGUUUGUACCUGUAAAUAAAGUGGUGUCUUGGAGGGGCAGUCUUUGUUGAGUCUAGGGGUCAGUGGGAUCUCCCACUGACUGAGCUGAGUCCAUUGUUACAAGUACAUACGUGUAGUGGUUCGGUAGAGUCUCCUGAAAACUAUUACUGUACUGUAUUUUGCUUAAUAAUAAACCUGGCCAGGCACCUUCAAUCCUUAUGUGAUUUGUGGUGUUUGGGGACUCUCUCAGA